RNAcentral lists this ribosomal RNA (454 nucleotides) under uncultured Porphyromonadaceae bacterium. RNAcentral's name for it is "bacterial SSU rRNA". It matches the Rfam family "Bacterial small subunit ribosomal RNA", at positions 341 to 792 of the family's 1533-position model. The record is from RNAcentral. Lineage: Bacteria; Pseudomonadati; Bacteroidota; Bacteroidia; Bacteroidales; Porphyromonadaceae.
ACGGAAGGCAGCAGUGAGGAAUAUUGGUCAAUGGGCGGAAGCCUGAACCAGCCAAGUCGCGUGAAGGAUGAAGGUAUUAUGUAUUGUAAACUUCUUUAGACGUAGAGAAAUAAGGAGGUCGAGACCUCUGAUGCUAGUAUACGUAGAAUAGGGAUCGGCUAACUCCGUGCCAGCAGCCGCGGUAAUACGGAGGAUCCGAGCGUUAUCCGGAUUUAUUGGGUUUAAAGGGUGCGUAGGCGGGCUGUUAAGUCAGCGGUGAAAGUUUGCGGCUCAACCGUAAAAUUGCCGUUGAAACUGGCGGUCUUGAGUGUAAACGAGGUAAGCGGAAUGUGACGUGUAGCGGUGAAAUGCUUAGAUAUGUCCCAGAACUCCGAUUGCGAAGGCAGCUUACCAGCAUACAACUGACGCUGAGGCACGAAAGCGUGGGUAUCAAACAGGAUUAGAUACCCUGGUA